RNAcentral lists this ribosomal RNA (432 nucleotides) under Streptomyces sp. R-45795. RNAcentral's name for it is "bacterial SSU rRNA". It matches the Rfam family "Bacterial small subunit ribosomal RNA", at positions 21 to 457 of the family's 1533-position model. Lineage: Bacteria; Bacillati; Actinomycetota; Actinomycetes; Kitasatosporales; Streptomycetaceae. The record is from RNAcentral.
GGCUCAGGACGAACGCUGGCGGCGUGCUUAACACAUGCAAGUCGAACGAUGAAGCCCUUCGGGGUGGAUUAGUGGCGAACGGGUGAGUAACACGUGGGCAAUCUGCCCUUCACUCUGGGACAAGCCCUGGAAACGGGGUCUAAUACCGGAUAAUACCGGCUUCCGCAUGGAAGCUGGUUGAAAGCUCCGGCGGUGAAGGAUGAGCCCGCGGCCUAUCAGCUUGUUGGUGGGGUAAUGGCCUACCAAGGCGACGACGGGUAGCCGGCCUGAGAGGGCGACCGGCCACACUGGGACUGAGACACGGCCCAGACUCCUACGGGAGGCAGCAGUGGGGAAUAUUGCACAAUGGGCGAAAGCCUGAUGCAGCGACGCCGCGUGAGGGAUGACGGCCUUCGGGUUGUAAACCUCUUUCAGCAGGGAAGAAGCGAAAGU